Molecule: ribosomal RNA, 404 nt
Filed under: Fusobacteriota bacterium
Lineage: Bacteria; Fusobacteriati; Fusobacteriota
Description: Fusobacteria bacterium partial 16S ribosomal RNA
Rfam family: Bacterial small subunit ribosomal RNA
Source: RNAcentral
UGGGGAAUAUUGCACAAUGGAGGGAACUCUGAUGCAGCGACGCCGCGUGAGUGAUGAAGGAAUUCGUUUCGUAAAACUCUGUUCUAUGGGAAGAAAAGGACUGUACCAUAGGAGAAAGCUCCGGCUAAAUACGUGCCAGCAGCCGCGGUAAUACGUAUGGAGCGAGCGUUGUCCGGAAUUAUUGGGCGUAAAGGGUGCGCAGGCGGCUUUACAAGUUGGAUGUGAAAUAUUGUAGCUCAACCACAAACGUGCAUCCAAAACUGCAAAGCUUGAGUUAAGGAGAGGUAAGUGGAAUUCCUGGUGUAGCGGUGGAAUGCGUAGAUAUCAGGAGGAAUACCGGUGGCGAAGGCGACUUACUGGACUUAAACUGACGCUCAGGCACGAAAGCGUGGGGAGCAAACAGG